GGGAGGGGGCACAUGAGGUUCGCUUCGAUCUGCAUGCGGCCACUCACGAACUCGGUGCAUCCAGGGGCCCAUCAUCGGGCUAGAGGACUUCCUCUCCGACCGCAACAAAACUUCCACGAACUUCAGCGAGCACAUAGCUGCCGCCGAGGUGCUGGCGUCCGAGACUGACAUCUUCGCCGACGACUCCCUUGGCACGUCACACCGUGCGAUUGCGAUACGGGUGGAGCUUCCGAGGCUGCCGCUGCGCCGUGCGGCGGGUGAUUUGAUAGAGCGGGGGUUGGCCUUCUACUCGAAGCUGUUGCGCGAGCCAGCACCGGCCGCAGGCGGUGCUGAUUGGCAGCAGCGACAUUGCACGCAAGCCGCGCCUUAUCCGGAGCCUCGCGAAGCUCGUGCACCGCCAUCUUUGUGUCCGGUGUCGUCGCCCUCACUUUCCUCGUUGCACGUGGCUACCAGGCUCUCAAAGAGUACGAGCCGGACGAGAGGAAGAACGAUGUAUCAACGUGGCCAGCACCCUGUUGUCAAGCUCCUUUAUGGGGCGGGACUGCUCGGCGUCGUCGCAGUCGUGCUCGCAAUAUGCGGCCGAGCUUCUCCGGAUUUUGCCGUAAAGCGGCAUUGAUAUAGUGCUGUCAAUCGACCAUGUCGUCGUUAGACCCCCCCCCGGAUACAGGUCUGCGCUAAAGGGCACGCACACUCCAGGACGGCGCCACGCUCCCGUGUAGGAGCUGGCUUCCCCAUUCAUGCCUCCCGACAUAUACAGCGUCGACGGCGGCUCCACCCCCUCUCGGCACCUUUGGGCAGGGGCACCGACGGUCGGCGUAUACGAGCUCAUUACGUGGGCGCCGUCGGUGGUGACGGUGCCGGCCGCACUCCCCGAGACCGUAACGUACCAGGUCUUCCAGCAUCUUUCCGAGCCGCUGCACCGAAUCGUCAGUACGAACGUACAGCAAGCAACAGGCCGGUGCGGAUGGCGUGUCGCGGUCGCUGCUGCACGCACGAGGCGCCGCUGUGCACGAUCCCGCAAAACAAGGCCGUGUGCCGCGAGUCGAACAAGUUGUGCGGGGCGACAGGAUGAGCGAGUAGAGUCGCUCUUGUCGUAUUGGUGUAUGCGCGUGCGUGCUGCCCAUCAGCAGCGCUGCGCUUUGUGUGUCAUGAGCUUCCAUCUCCACAUGCAUCAUGGGGUGGUGCUAGGGUGGUAGGUUCGGGCUGAGAAGAGAGGCGGUAAAUGCCGAGAGACGAGGUACGCGGUGACAAAUAUGGUGUUCGCGGCUUUCUGGGGAGGGGCAUCGCCACGGCGAACCGCGCUGUCCGCUCACUCGGCUUCUUUGUCCAGUGACUCCUCUCUCCCUUCUCUUUCCUUUUUGCUUGACGGCAUGUCUGCUUUUACAUCUUCUACCAUAAUCGUCGCUCGUUACUCGUUUUUUGUUGUUAUGUUUCUCUUCACCCGUGUCUGCUCGCAGCGUUUCAGAUUGCCAGCAAUGUGCACCCCCCCCUCCCCUUCCGACUGCACACCGCCACACGACUUCAGAG
Molecule: unclassified non-coding RNA, 1527 nt
Filed under: Leishmania donovani
Lineage: Eukaryota; Euglenozoa; Kinetoplastea; Trypanosomatida; Trypanosomatidae
Description: gene:unknown
Source: RNAcentral